AAACUUUUAACAACGGAUCUCUUGGCUCUCGCAACGAUGAAGAACGCAGCGAAAUGCGAUAAGUAAUGUGAAUUGCAGAAUUCAGUGAAUCAUCGAAUCUUUGAACGCACCUUGCGCCCUUUGGUAUUCCGAAGGGCACACCUGUUUGAGUGUCAUUA
This 158-nucleotide ribosomal RNA is filed under the name Platygloea disciformis. Its description in RNAcentral is "5.8S ribosomal RNA". It matches the Rfam family "5.8S ribosomal RNA". From Rfam's summary of the family: 5.8S ribosomal RNA (5.8S rRNA) is a component of the large subunit of the eukaryotic ribosome. Lineage: Eukaryota; Fungi; Basidiomycota; Pucciniomycetes; Platygloeales; Platygloeaceae. The record is from RNAcentral.